RNAcentral lists this ribosomal RNA (425 nucleotides) under uncultured bacterium. Its description in RNAcentral is "bacterial SSU rRNA". It matches the Rfam family "Bacterial small subunit ribosomal RNA", at positions 354 to 796 of the family's 1533-position model. The record is from RNAcentral.
GUGGGGAAUAUUGGACAAUGGGCGCAAGCCUGAUCCAGCCAUGCCGCGUGAGUGAUGACGGCCUUAGGGUUGUAAAGCUCUUUUACCUGGGAAGAUAAUGACGGUACCAGGAGAAUAAGCCCCGGCUAACUUCGUGCCAGCAGCCGCGGUAAUACGAAGGGGGCUAGCGUUGUUCGGAUUUACUGGGCGUAAAGCGCACGUAGGCGGAUUUUUAAGUCAGGGGUGAAAUCCCAAGGCUCAACCUUGGAACUGCCUUUGAUACUGGAGAUCUUGAGUCCGGGAGAGGUGAGUGGAACUGCGAGUGUAGAGGUGAAAUUCGUAGAUAUUCGCAAGAACACCAGUGGCGAAGGCGGCUCACUGGCCCGGAACUGACGCUGAGGUGCGAAAGCGUGGGGAGCAAACAGGAUUAGAAACCCUUGUAGUCC